Molecule: long non-coding RNA, 1381 nt
Organism: Fukomys damarensis (Damara mole-rat)
Lineage: Eukaryota; Metazoa; Chordata; Mammalia; Rodentia; Bathyergidae
Exons: 8
Source: RefSeq, a predicted model, not a curated record
CUCUGCUGUCUGGGCCUGCCUUGCAAUUGAUCCUGGAUUUGAAGCUGACAACUGUGAACUAGUUGGAAAAUGCUGCCCCAGGAGCUGCCAUGCCUGAAGAAAAUUCAAAGAAAGAUCAUGUGCAACUGGAUUUAAUGCAGAAACAGCAUGGAAGAGUAGUUUGACGAAGAAAAGUUGUUCACAUGAAAGACGAAGCAGAGAGAGAAAAGAGGAGCCAGGGAAAGAACACACGUUUCCAGGUUAUGUCACCAGUAACCUACCCACUUGUUCCAACAUAUUUUACUGGGUUUUGGGAAGACGGCAGAGUGGUGAGGAGCAGCAAAUCACCAUCUCUAAGAUCAAGUAUUUAGACACUGGAAAAAAACAACUUGGGGAAGAAAAAAGGAAGGAAGUAAGAUCCUGAUACCCAAGAAAGAUCGGAUGGGAAAAUUGGAGCCAUCAGAGAAACUGAAGAGACAGACCACAAUGAAGAAAAAGAAGGGUCAAUAUGUACUUUCUUUCUGGCUCCUGGCUCCUGGCUUAUGAAAAAGGAAGAUCUGAAUGUACAAAGACAUAGUGAAAGUGGCUCUCCCAAGGUGUUCAGGGGUAAAUGCACUAGUGGAAUGGAGCUGGAGGUGCUGUGUGGUUACAACAGCUGGUGAAUGUCUCCAUUUCAAGGUUCUGCCAUCUCCUGAAGAGAGUGCUUGGUCAAACGCCAUUCCAGCCAGGGUUCAGGCAAACAUGAAACUAAGAGCAGAUAAACUGGCACUAGGGUCCUUCCCUGGGAAGAUAGAUUGCCUUCUUGAUUAUAACCAUGCCAGAGGAAUGCUUUCUAAUGCGGACUCACAGCAUUGACUCUACAGCGAGCUUCCAGGACUUUAACAUUGGACUGGUGCUGCCCUUUCAAUUCCUCUUGUUCUGUGGCUUCUGUCUUGCACUGAGCAGCUACUGGAUGCUCUGGCUUUACAGCAUGCAGAUGGCUGUUGUGGAUCCUUCCACCUCUGGUCCUAGGUAGAGAAUUCUCCACCCUCAGUGGCAGAGACAUCCUUAUUGCCAACCCCUAUUAGUUGGCCUCUCAACUUCUGCCUGAAGAAACUGAUCGUGCCUUGCUUAUGGAAAGUGUACUGACCUUUCCUGAUACAAUUAUGAAGCAAGAAAUUGCUGACCUUCCUCAGAACCUACACAGACCAUUGUAGACCUACAGUCAGGUUUGAAUAUCACAAGACACCUCAAAGUGAAGUACACUGAAUGACCCAUGAGGAGAAAGAACAAAGGUGAACUCUGCAGAUGAAUAGUGUCCUGAUUGAAGACUCUCAGAAUUCCAUCAGAAGAAGACUAAGGAGAAGGGUGAGAAUUAUAAGUCACAACUGCCUAAAAUCAGUGAACUGAAAAUGUAUGAACA